Molecule: long non-coding RNA, 1402 nt
Organism: Oncorhynchus mykiss (rainbow trout)
Lineage: Eukaryota; Metazoa; Chordata; Actinopteri; Salmoniformes; Salmonidae
Source: RefSeq, a predicted model, not a curated record
GACAGCCGGUAUCUAAGGUGGGGAGGGUGAUUUUGCCACAUUAUAUAAGACCAGGCUCACUUUCAGCUGGAGUCUCUACACAGCCAGAUCAGAUCAACGAUAGCAAACCCAGGAUAGUCAACCCAGGACAGCAGUUUCCUCUAGUAUCUGGCCCACGAGACACCUCGCCUUUCUGCAAUAUGAAGUGCCUGGUUCUGGGACUCGGCACACUGGCCUUGCUGGCAUCCACCAUGGCACAGAAUUCUACAAUAGGACCAACAACAGACCAACAUAAUUCUACAAUAGGACCAACAACAGACCAACAGAAUUCUACAAUAGGACCAACAACAGACCAACAGAAUUCUACAAUAGGACCAACAACAGACCAACAGAAUUCUACAAUAGGACCAACAACAGACCAACAGAAUUCUACAAUAGGUCCAGCAACCGUCACAACUGCCACAACCGCCACCUGGCCAUCCACACCAAAUUCUACAAUAGGACCAACAACCGACCAACAGAAUUCUACAAUAGGACCAACAAAUGCCACCACAACCGCCACAACCGCCACAUGGUCAACCACUCUCACCACACCAGCAGGGGGCAGCCAUGUCUUCAGUUACUCCCUGACUCUACUGUUUGGUUCGACAGCCAGCCUGAUAAUACAUUCACUAUGGCAUUGAGCGCCACAUAGAGGACAAGAGUCACAUUGACUGCACCUUUCUGAGAGUGUUAUUAAAGGGUAAUUUGGGGAUUCUGGCAAUGAGGCCCGUUAUCUACUUUCCCAGAGUCAGAGGAACUCAUGGAUACCAGUUUUAAGUCUCUGCGUGCGGUUUGAAUAAAGUUGCUAACUUGCGCAACUGUUAACUUCCUUUUAGCUCAAUGACUGCUAACGCUAGUUGUUGACUAGUGCAAUUGCUAAUUAGCGUUAGCGAAAUGACUGGAACUUCCUGUCAUUGUGUUAACACUAGUUAGCAUUGGCAUUAGCAUUACCGCUAACUUCCUUCAUACAGGACACAGAGACAUAAAAAUGGUAUCCACAAGUUCAUCUGAUUCUGGGAAAGACGAUAAAGGGCACCAUUGCCAAAUCCUAACGUAUCCCUUUAAAAACUGAAUAAGAGCGUAGGAGAAUAAUCUUUCUCUCAAUUUGUGUGUUUUACAGUGACCUGCUGGAGGUUUGUGUGUUCUCUGUGUAUUUCAAAAUGUAGAACUGAAACACUGGUUGAUAGGGUUGCAAUGCCCAAAAUCGGUGUAUACUAAUGUUUUAUAGUCAAUCAAGCCGUGAGUUCCUUUGCUAUGUAAACAAGUGAAGUAUUCAUGUGAUUGUCUUCGGACAGAAAUAGGUCAUUAUACAAAUGGUAAAUGAUUUAAUUUCUCAUUGUACAAAUAUUGAAAUGUACCCAAAUAAAAUAUUUUUUUUGUA